This 584-nucleotide ribosomal RNA is filed under the name Naganishia adeliensis. Its description in RNAcentral is "eukaryotic LSU rRNA". It matches the Rfam family "Eukaryotic large subunit ribosomal RNA", at positions 81 to 654 of the family's 3401-position model. The record is from RNAcentral. Lineage: Eukaryota; Fungi; Basidiomycota; Tremellomycetes; Filobasidiales; Filobasidiaceae.
UAGUACGGCGAGUGAAGCGGGAAGAGCUCAAAUUUGAAAUCUGGUAGCCUUCGGUUGCCCGAGUUGUAAUCUAGAGAAGUGUUUUCCGUGCCGGCCCAUGUACAAGUCCCUUGGAACAGGGCGUCAUAGAGGGUGAGAAUCCCGUCCUUGACAUGGACCCCCGGUGCUUUGUGAUACACUUUCAACGAGUCGAGUUGUUUGGGAAUGCAGCUCAAAAUGGGUGGUGAAUUCCAUCUAAAGCUAAAUAUUGGCGAGAGACCGAUAGCGAACAAGUACCGUGAGGGAAAGAUGAAAAGCACUUUGGAAAGAGAGUUAAACAGUACGUGAAAUUGUUGAAAGGGAAACGAUUGAAGUCAGUCAUGCUCUUAGGAUUCAGCCGUUCUGCGGUGUAUUUCCUUUGAGUGGGGUCAACAUCAGUUUUGAUCGAUGGAUAAAGGCACGAGGAAGGUAGCACUCUCGGGUGAACUUAUAGCCUCGCGUCAUAUACAUUGAUUGAGACUGAGGAACGCAGCAUGCCUUUAUGGCCGGGAUUCGUCCACGUACAUGCUUAGGAUGUUGACAUAAUGGCUUUAAACGACCCGCUG